AAUCAACGCUGGCGGCGUGCCUCAGACAUGCAAGUCGAACGCGAAAGUCCCCUUCGGGGGGCGAGUAGAGUGGCGCACGGGUGAGUAACACGUAGGUAAUCUACCCCCGAGUGGGGAAUAACUCAGGGAAACUUGAGCUAAUACCGCAUAAUGCAGCGGCACCACAUGGUGACAGUUGUUAAAGCAUUUAUGCGCUUGGGGGAGGAGCCUGCGGCAGAUUAGCUAGUUGGUAAGGUAAUGGCUUACCAAGGCUACGAUCUGUAACCGGCCUGAGAGGGCGGACGGUCACACUGACACUGAAUAACGGGUCAGACUCCUACGGGAGGCAGCAGUCGGGAA
This 339-nucleotide ribosomal RNA is filed under the name uncultured bacterium. RNAcentral's name for it is "bacterial SSU rRNA". It matches the Rfam family "Bacterial small subunit ribosomal RNA", at positions 32 to 361 of the family's 1533-position model. The record is from RNAcentral.